This 696-nucleotide ribosomal RNA is filed under the name uncultured archaeon. RNAcentral describes it as "bacterial SSU rRNA". It matches the Rfam family "Archaeal small subunit ribosomal RNA", at positions 85 to 783 of the family's 1478-position model. The record is from RNAcentral.
ACGGCUCAGUAACACGUAGUCAACCUACCUUAUGGACGGGGAUAACCUCGGGAAACUGAGAAUAAUACCCGAUAGAUCAUUAUGCCUGGAAUGGUUUAUGGUCAAAAUGAAUUUCGCCAUAGGAUGGGACUGCGGUCUAUCAGCUUGUUGGUGAGGUAAUGGCCCACCAAGGCUAUAACAGAUACGGGCUCUGAGAGGAGAAGCCCGGAGAUGGGUACUGAGACACGGACCCAGGUCCUAUGGGGCGCAGCAGGCGAGAAAACUUUGCAAUGUGCGAAAGCACGACAAGGUUAAUCCGAGUGUUUCCUGCUAAAGGAAUCUUUUGCUAGUCAUAAAACCACUAUCGAAUAAGGGGUGGGCAAGUUCUGGUGUCAGCCGCCGCGGUAAAACCAGCACCUCAAGUGGUCAGGAGGAUUAUUGGGCCUAAAGCAUCCGUAGCCUGCUUUGUUAGUUUUCGGUUAAAUCCAUAUGCUCAACAUAUGGGCUGCCGGGAAUACUGCAUAGCUAGGGAGUGGGAGAGGUAGACGGUACUCCGUAGGAAGGGGUAAAAUCCUUUGAUCUAUGGACGACCACCUGUGGCGAAGGCGGUCUACCAGAACACGUCCGACGGUGAGGGAUGAAAGCUGGGGGAGCAAACCGGAUUAGAUACCCGGGUAGUCCCAGCUGUAAACUAUGCAAACUCGGUGAUGCAUUGGC